UAUAUUUGCAGCGUUGAAAGGUUCGCGUCUCAGGCGCGAUGAAAAGGGAACGGAGUGAGAGUCUCCGACAGUCCCGCUGCUGUGAGCAGCCCUUAUCAGGAGCGAACAACAAGCCACUGGCAAUUCACCGGGAAGGCGUUCGCGUCCGGGCUGCGAGUCAGAAGACCUGCCUUCAAUGCUCAUUGAUG
Molecule: non-coding RNA, 188 nt
Filed under: Prevotella sp. CAG:487
Lineage: Bacteria; Pseudomonadati; Bacteroidota; Bacteroidia; Bacteroidales; Prevotellaceae
Source: RNAcentral